UUUUGACAGGGACGAAGCGCAAGUGACUGUACCUGUAGAAUAAGGACCGGCCAACUACGUGCCAGCAGCCGCGGUAAUACGUAGGGUCCGAGCGUUGUCCGGAAUUACUGGGCGUAAAGAGCUUGUAGGCGGUUCGUCGCGUCGUUUGUGAAAACUUGGGGCUCAACCUUAAGCUUGCAGGCGAUACGGGCGGACUAGAGUACUUCAGGGGAGACUGGAAUUCCUGGUGUAGCGGUGAAAUGCGCAGAUAUCAGGAGGAACACCGGUGGCGAAGGCGGGUCUCUGGGAAGUAACUGACGCUGAGAAGCGAAAGCAUGGGUAGCAAACAGGAUUAGAUACCCUGGUA
Molecule: ribosomal RNA, 346 nt
Filed under: Nocardia sp. 3.2-VPr
Lineage: Bacteria; Bacillati; Actinomycetota; Actinomycetes; Mycobacteriales; Nocardiaceae
Description: bacterial SSU rRNA
Rfam family: Bacterial small subunit ribosomal RNA
Source: RNAcentral